Microcebus murinus (gray mouse lemur) is the source of this 1928-nucleotide non-coding RNA. The record is from RefSeq and is a predicted model, not a curated record. Lineage: Eukaryota; Metazoa; Chordata; Mammalia; Primates; Cheirogaleidae.
CUGAUGGAUGAUAAUAACACCAGCGAUGCAGACAGGAGCUAACCUUGACUUCUGUGUGCAGGGCCCUGACCUUGCAGACACGAUUCCACUCCCGCCUUAGCACAACCCGCGAGCUCAGUACCCCAGGCUGAGCAUCCCUAAUCCAAACAUCCAAAACUCGAAAUGCUCCAAAACCUGAAACUUUUUGAGCACCGACACGAUGCUCAAAGCAAACGCUCGCUGGAGCAUUCCAGAUUCCAGGCUUUUUGGAUUAGGAAUGCCUGACUGUCGAGGAUAAUGCAAAUAUUCCAAAAUGUAAAAAAAAUCCAAAAUCUGAAACACUUCUGGUCCCAAGCAGAAUUUUGCAUAAGGGAAUCUCACCCCUUAUUGUUGUUCCCGCCCCCUGUUCGCAGUACCUGACACUCAGAGAAAUUAACACACAUAGGCAAGGCCACGCAGCCAGGAAAAAGCAGCUACAGAAUUCCUAAGACUGAAAUAGGUCCAAGUCCAAAGCCCGUACCGGUCUCAGCUCUGCCACUCCGGGAGAUGGAGGACGACGGAGGUCGGGAGGGGUGAAGCCUGGAGGGGUGAAGCCUGGAGGGGAGGAAGGGAGCUAUGGCCUGGCCCCAGGUCGCCUGCUCUGGGAGAUCUCCCCGGACCCUGGAGCACUGAGGAUGCCGUCAGGCCUUGCCUGGGAGCCUCACUCCUCCCUGGAAGCCUGGCCGAGAUCUCCGUGAGCCCCCAGAAUGACCUGUCCCUGUGAUGUGUCACCUAGAAUGUAGGCGGCUGUCCUGUUCCUGCUGGGGCAACCAGGCAGUGAGACCCUCCCUGUCGUUUAUUAGACAUAUUCACUGAGCACAUUUCUGGUGCCAGGUUCGGGAACGUAGAAGAGAACAGGCUGCCGUGAAAGCGCAUUCUAUAGGCAGAGAGGCGGGGCAAGAGAUACGCAAACAGAUAAACCUGGUCGCUUUGGAGAAUGAAAGGACCGAUCAAGUGAACUCGGCAGGACACCCUGAGAGCGAGUGACUGGGCAGGGUGGCCUGUCUGAGGACGAGAUGAUGGGCUGAGAGCCAAAUGACCACCAGAGAGCCAGAGAGGCGAGGAUCUGGGGCACAGCCUUGCAGGCGGAAGGUGCCACCAGGGAACGGGGCUGAGGCCGGAGUGGGUCUAGGGGGCAGAGAGAGGGCGGGUGCGGAGGAGCCUCAGGAUGGGGGCAAGAGAGAGGCCAGCUCAGUGUGCGACCUGGCCGGGGACGCUCCCCUGGGGCUGAGAGGGCCACUGCAAACCCUCUGGGCUUUGUUCUCAGUGCAGGGUGAAGCCAUUUUAAGCAAAGGAAAAACAUCAUCCAAUGUCUGUUUUUAAAAAGAUAGCUCCGGCUGCUGCGCAGAGAAGGUGCUGCUGCAGGGGACGGGGCCUGGCAGCAAGAAGGUCCUCACCGGAUGCCGCCCCCAGUCUCGGACGCCCCCCGCCUCCGGAGCUGUGAGCCAAAUACACUUCCGCGCAUUGUCAACUACCCCGUCUCUGCUCUCCUGUCACAGCAGCGUGAAACGGACGGAGGCGGGUGUCCAGGUCUCAGCUCAGAUGGCGCCUCCCCAGAGAAGACUCCUGACCGCCCUGGAAAACAGUCUCCAUCACUGUUACACUCUGUACGCUCUUGCUAUGUUUAGUGUCCCUGAGAGAGCUUUAUCACGUCCUGACCUUUUCUCUCCCUCCCACUCCCUCUCUCUCCCUCUCUCUCUCUCCCCCUCUCUCUCUCCCUCUCUCUCUCUCUCUCUAUAUAUAUAUAUAUGUGUGUGUUUAUUGAUGUACUAUCUGUUUCUCUCCAGUAUAGUGUAAGGUCCAUUAGGACAGAGUCUUUAUUUUGCAUGCUCACCACUGCACCCUCAGUCCCCAAAACAGUGCUCAGUGACUAUUUGCUGAGUAAAUGAAUAAAUACAUGUAAAAAAGGA